GUGCCAGCCGCCGCGGUAAUACCGGCAGCCCAAGUGAUGGCCGUUAUUAUUGGGCCUAAAGCGUUCGUAGCCGGCCGGUCAAGUCCGUCGGGAAAUCCACUCGCUUAACGAGUUGGGCGUCCGGCGGAAACUGCACAGCUUGGGACCGGAAGGCUCGAAGGGUACGUUCGGGGUAGGAGUGAAAUCCCAUAAUCCCGCACGGACCACCGAUGGCGAAAGCACUUCGAGAAAACGGAUCCGACAGUGAGGGACGAAAGCCAGGGUCUCCAACCGGAUUAGAAACCCGGGUAGUCC
RNAcentral lists this ribosomal RNA (294 nucleotides) under uncultured bacterium. RNAcentral's name for it is "partial 16S ribosomal RNA". It matches the Rfam family "Archaeal small subunit ribosomal RNA", at positions 455 to 747 of the family's 1478-position model. The record is from RNAcentral.